UCGAACGGCAGCGCGGGGCAACCUGGCGGCGAGUGGCGAACGGGUGAGUAAUACAUCGGAACGUACCCAGAAGUGGGGGAUAACGUAGCGAAAGUUACGCUAAUACCGCAUACGUUCUACGGAAGAAAGUGGGGGACCUUCGGGCCUCAUGCUUUUGGAGCGGCCGAUGUCUGAUUAGCUAGUUGGUGAGGUAAAGGCUCACCAAGGCGACGAUCAGUAGCUGGUCUGAGAGGACGACCAGCCACACUGGGACUGAGACACGGCCCAGACUCCUACGGGAGGCAGCAGUGGGGAAUUUUGGACAAUGGGGGCAACCCUGAUCCAGCAAUGCCGCGUGAGUGAAGAAGGCCUUCGGGUUGUAAAGCUCUUUUGUCAGGGAAGAAAUCGCCAUGGUUAAUACCUGUGGCGGAUGACGGUACCUGAAGAAUAAGCACCGGCUAACUACGUGCCAGCAGCCGCGGUAAUACGUAGGGUGCAAGCGUUA
Molecule: ribosomal RNA, 484 nt
Filed under: uncultured bacterium
Lineage: Bacteria
Description: bacterial SSU rRNA
Rfam family: Bacterial small subunit ribosomal RNA
Source: RNAcentral